Heterocephalus glaber (naked mole-rat) is the source of this 506-nucleotide non-coding RNA. Lineage: Eukaryota; Metazoa; Chordata; Mammalia; Rodentia; Bathyergidae. The record is from RefSeq and is a predicted model, not a curated record.
GAGUGGGGAAGUUCUGAGCAGGGACUGGCCCGUGGGCGGGGCUCCACGCCGAGGGCCGGAGUGCGUUCCCGCCAGGCUCUGGGAGGGGCUUCACAGGAGGUGAGGAACCCCAGCGGACCAGGAAGGAAGGGAGGAAAUCUUGCUCACGAGCUUCCGGGUGGGGGACAGAAUCAAUGGGACUGCACGGACAAGGGAGAACAAACUAUGCCUAUUGGAAUGAUAACGCCAAACUUCCUAGAAGUGCCAAUUAGAUCUCCUCCGUCCUGGUGUGGCUAGUGAGCGAAAACGCCUCAAGAGCAGACUUUGGCUCACUCAUAUUGCUGCAAAUGAUCUGCACCUGAUUCUCACUGCAGCUCUGGCUAAAAGCAACCAGGAAUUCAUGCCACAGCUGAAUGUUGGGCUCCCUUGAAAUCUCCUCCACCAGAUCAAUUAGUCCAUCACCCUAAAUCUCAGUCUGCCAGUCUUAGGACAUGAGCAAAAGAUUAAAUAAACUUUUUGCCAAAGUA